GAUGAACGCUGGCGGCGUGCUUAACACAUGCAAGUCGAACGAAGCACCGGACCUUCGGGACCGGUGACUGAGUGGCGGACGGGUGAGUAACGCGUGGGUAACCUGCCCUGUACAGGGGGAUAACAGUUAGAAAUGACUGCUAAUACCGCAUAAGCACACGAGGGGGCAUCUCUUUGUGUGAAAAACUCCGGUGGUACAGGAUGGGCCCGCGUCUGAUUAGCCAGUUGGCAGGGUAACGGCCUACCAAAGCGACGAUCAGUAGCCGGUCUGAGAGGAUGAACGGCCACAUUGGAACUGAGACACGGCCCAAACUCC
RNAcentral lists this ribosomal RNA (315 nucleotides) under uncultured Coprococcus sp. RNAcentral's name for it is "bacterial SSU rRNA". It matches the Rfam family "Bacterial small subunit ribosomal RNA", at positions 28 to 339 of the family's 1533-position model. The record is from RNAcentral. Lineage: Bacteria; Bacillati; Bacillota; Clostridia; Lachnospirales; Lachnospiraceae.